Molecule: ribosomal RNA, 253 nt
Filed under: uncultured bacterium
Lineage: Bacteria
Description: partial 16S ribosomal RNA
Rfam family: Bacterial small subunit ribosomal RNA
Source: RNAcentral
UACAGAGGUCCCGAGCGUUGUUCGGAUUCAUUGGGCGUAAAGGGUGCGUAGGUGGCGCUGUAAGUGGGGUGUGAAAUCCCGGGGCUUAACUCCGGAACUGCAUUCCAUACUGCGGUGCUUGAGGACUGGAGAGGAGACUGGAAUUUACGGUGUAGCAGUGAAAUGCGUAGAUAUCGUAAGGAAGACCAGUGGCGAAGGCGGGUCUCUGGACAGUUCCUGACGCUGAGGCACGAAGGCCAGGGGAGCAAACGGG